UAAGAACCACCGCCCCCCCCCCCUCACUACCCCAUCUUCAAUUAAUAAAAUUUUCCCUUCAGAAUUUUAUAACCCUGGCUCUAGUCCCGCCGUCUCUUCAUGUUCCGUCAAAAUCUCCGGAAAUAGUUCCAAGUUCAGCGACCCUGCCCUGCACCCCCUAGCGGAGAGCGGAGACUCCACCACUAUACGCGCGUUUUCUCUUUCCAACUAACUCUCCACUUGCACUCCAACCAUGGCAGAAGCAACAGUAAGAAGGAUUGCUAUCCCCAGCCCUCCUACCCCAGUUCCUACUAGACCUAUAGCUAUAGUGACAUCACCCCCUACCACACCUCCCGUCUCACCACCACACUCCCCUUCACCCCAUCCAUCAUUACUAGACGAGUAGGAACAAUAUUUUCCAGCAAUGACCUCCACUGUUCACAGAAUCUGUGAGCUGUGAGUAUAUGCUGCGUAAGCUGAUCUCUAGUCGUAUCCCCUAAAGACGACAUUCAUCCGUUAGAAAAGACGAUAUAUGAAGAAAAUAUAUUUAUAAAAA
Long non-coding RNA from Eurytemora carolleeae, 535 nucleotides. RefSeq lists it as uncharacterized. The transcript has 2 exons. The record is from RefSeq and is a predicted model, not a curated record. NCBI's taxonomy places the organism in Eukaryota, Metazoa, Arthropoda, Copepoda, Calanoida, Temoridae.